CGGGAUGUGGCGCAGUCUGGCUAGCGCGCACCCUUGGGGUGGGUGAGGUCGCAAGUUCGAAUCUUGUCAUCCCGACCA
RNAcentral lists this transfer RNA (78 nucleotides) under Helicobacteraceae bacterium. Its description in RNAcentral is "tRNA-Pro". It matches the Rfam family "tRNA". Rfam says of the family: Transfer RNA (tRNA) molecules are approximately 80 nucleotides in length. Their secondary structure includes four short double-helical elements and three loops (D, anti-codon, and T loops). Further hydrogen bonds mediate the characteristic L-shaped molecular structure. tRNAs have two regions of fundamental functional importance: the anti-codon, which is responsible for specific mRNA codon recognition, and the 3' end, to which the tRNAs corresponding amino acid is attached (by aminoacyl-tRNA synthetases). tRNAs cope with the degeneracy of the genetic code in two manners: having more than one tRNA (with a specific anti-codon) for a particular amino acid; and 'wobble' base-pairing, i.e. permitting non-standard base-pairing at the 3rd anti-codon position. Lineage: Bacteria; Pseudomonadati; Campylobacterota; Epsilonproteobacteria; Campylobacterales; Helicobacteraceae. The record is from RNAcentral.